RNAcentral lists this ribosomal RNA (439 nucleotides) under uncultured bacterium. RNAcentral's name for it is "partial 16S ribosomal RNA". It matches the Rfam family "Bacterial small subunit ribosomal RNA", at positions 339 to 795 of the family's 1533-position model. The record is from RNAcentral.
CUACGGGGGGCUGCAGUGAGGAAUAUUGCACAAUGGGGGGAACCCUGAUGCAGCAACGCCGCGUGGAGGAUGACGCAUUUCGGUGUGUAAACUCCUUUUAUAUGUCAAGAAAAUGACGGUAGCAUAUGAAUAAGCACCGGCUAACUCCGUGCCAGCAGCCGCGGUAAUACGGAGGGUGCAAGCGUUACUCGGAAUCACUGGGCGUAAAGGACGCGUAGGCGGGUUGGAAAGUCAGGUGUGAAAUCCUACAGCUUAACUGUAGAACUGCACUUGAAACUUCUAAUCUAGAGUAUGGGAGGGGGAGAGGGAAUUAGGGGUGUAGGGGUAAAAUCCGUAGAUAUCACUAGGAAUACCUAAAGCGAAGGCGAUCUCCUGGAACAUUACUGACGCUAAGGCGUGAAAGCGUGGGGAGCAAACAGGAUUAGAUACCCCCGUACUC